This 713-nucleotide long non-coding RNA is filed under the name Gossypium barbadense (sea-island cotton). Its description in RNAcentral is "long non-coding RNA (GBAR_LNC004905)". Lineage: Eukaryota; Viridiplantae; Streptophyta; Magnoliopsida; Malvales; Malvaceae. The record is from RNAcentral.
GCACAUUCAGAAUUUGAGGAUGAGGAGCUGCUGACAUUUGGAGCAUCCAAAUCAACAUUUUCUGGCAAAGUUACUCCAUUAGAAAGCUGGGUGUACCCCGAAGCACUCCGAGGAGCAUCAUCCAAUUUGGCAGCUUUAACCUUCAAGCCUUGUGGAGGCAAGGAAGAAGCAUUUUGAGACAAACUGAAUGAAAAAUGUAAGGAAGAUCCAGGAUCAAGUGAGGCACUUUCACCACUUUCUUUAGGAUUAGACUGAAAAGCCUCAUCAUUAACAUCAUUCGUAGAUACAACUGGUUCCAGAGUUCUGCCCCAGAAACCAGAAGAUAAAGUACGAACCUCAGAAGUUGAGCCCUCAUACAUAUCACUAAUACCUGAAGAACUGCCACUUGCUCUGCAUUGGAUCUCUCCACCUUGAUCAGGCUUCAUCUGAUUUGAUGCAUUCAAUUUAGAAAAUUUAUCUACAGAAUCAACCAAGCUGGCAAAUUUUGGGGAUGACAAAUUGGUUUGAUCCACGUUGUUGACACCAGAAGCAGUCCACAAUGUGUCAAGUUUAGAGUCAUCAGCAGAUGAAGAUAUCUCAAGUCUACAAGGCUCAUUUGAACCAACGCUCUCACACACAGAAACAUCAUCAGACGAUUCACUACCAGUUACAGAAGAAGAAAACCCAGAGAAUGAAGUACUGGAAGAUUCUGAAGCAAUGCUCCUUCCUUCCCC